GACCGCUGGAGACAGAUAUGCAAGAUGGCAGAGGAGGGGGGAAAGCCAAUAGAAAAGGGAUAUUGCACCUACUUGUGGCCAGUUUCCUUGCCCUGCCUUUGGAUCUCAUGCUGUGCCCAGUCCUGCAGCCGCUGGAAAUUUUCUAUACCGUCCAUACCAAGAAGGCGGGGCUGGGGAGGACUUUUUAAAUCUUUCCCGUACUAAACAACCAGAAGGACUGGACUCUCGACGAAUGAUCCAGGAGAAAGUGAGAUUCAUCCUGAACUCCGGGAAAUCUGAUGCUGCCGCUGCUACUGCUACCGGAGCUAUUGCGGCUUCUGCUUUCAGAGUUGAAAGCAGAAUAAAUGUUUCUUUCUCGAUUUUAGGUCCAGGCAAGCUCGGGCAUUUGAUAUCCAAGACCUCCUGCCUUCCCUGAGGUCGGCUGUCACCUUCCGGCCUCCCCCACCGCUGCCCCCCGUCGCCUCCCGCUGCAGCUCAGCCUGCCUGCCAUUUUCACUCAUUCGCUUAAACCCACAACCUCCGGGGUCGUAAGAAGAAGGAGCUGUGUAAUUCUGGGGACAUUUUGGCUAAAAGAUACAAGUCCCUGGAGAACCAAGGUAUGGGUCCCAAGGGAGACAGAUGUGUAAUAUUGAAAUGUGAGAAAUGGAAGUAGGAGUAAAACAGCUUCCAAAAGAAAAGUCUCUCGUGCCCACAACACAUGGGCGCAGGAGAAUCCCACCAUUUCGUCUGAACCAGAGAGGCAGGUGGGGGGUUUCCCUCAGUCCUUCUACAAUACCUGUUGCCCUGCGCAUACAGGUGGUGUACUUAUACAUUUGGUAAGUGCAGAAGCACUAGGCACUUCAACAUUCUGAGUGUGGGUGCCCGGGCAUCUGUGAAUUUGAGUUCACUGGCUUUUCUCAGUUUAGAUGGAGGAGUGCCUUCACUCUGACCAGUAAGUGUCCUUAGGGGAAAAGGAGAAGUGGGGGUUGAAGGCUUUCAGAAAGGAAGUAAAAUCUCUAGGAAGAGAAGCAUACUAAGCUAGCCAGCAAGGAGUUCACAGAAACUGCUUUAAGGGAUUCUCUGGGGACCCUCACCUUAGGCCAGAGGACAGAGGGGCUCUGCUGGAGGAUCAGGCCCCUCCCAGGGGUCAGACCCUACAGGGCCCUGGCUCCCAGGAGAGGAGGUGGAGUCCACUGGGGAAGGAAGGAGAAUAUGACUGGGACAUUUCAUUUCACCUUCUCACCCCCGGAGAUUAAAAAAUAAAUAAAUAAAAGGAAUUACCAACCUCCCUAACCAUUGCUCUCCUUAAUUCCUUUCUUCUCGUCCCCCAGGGGGUCUGCAUCUGGGUCCCCUUGUAGAAAGGAGGUUAAGAGGAGUGCUGGAGAAUUUUUUAGCAAAGGAAGGGAUCUAGGAACCAAACCCAAGAUUACAAUACGAAAUCCACAAGUGAAGCUGCAGUUGUUGCUUCUGCUGAGAAAUUAUAAACCACCCCGCGGGCUGCGGGGGGUGGGGCGGGGGGUAGGGGC
Long non-coding RNA from Phyllostomus discolor (pale spear-nosed bat), 1505 nucleotides. RefSeq lists it as uncharacterized. The transcript is spliced from 4 exons. Lineage: Eukaryota; Metazoa; Chordata; Mammalia; Chiroptera; Phyllostomidae. The record is from RefSeq and is a predicted model, not a curated record.